UCCCAAAGUGCUAGGAUUACAGGAGUGAG
Molecule: non-coding RNA, 29 nt
Filed under: Homo sapiens (human)
Lineage: Eukaryota; Metazoa; Chordata; Mammalia; Primates; Hominidae
Source: RNAcentral